UACGGAAGGUCCGAGCGUUAUCCGGAUUUAUUGGGUUUAAAGGGAGCGUAGGCGGAGGAUUAAGUCAGCCGUUAAAUAGUGGGGCUCAACCCCGCAGUGCGGUUGAAACUGGUUUUCUUGAGUGCACGAGAGGCAGGUGGAAUUCGUGGUGUAGCGGUGAAAUGCUUAGAUAUCACGAAGAACUCCGAUUGCGAAGGCAGCCUGCUGGUGUGUUACUGACGCUGAUGCUCGAAGGUGCGGGUAUC
Molecule: ribosomal RNA, 245 nt
Filed under: uncultured Prevotellaceae bacterium
Lineage: Bacteria; Pseudomonadati; Bacteroidota; Bacteroidia; Bacteroidales; Prevotellaceae
Description: partial 16S ribosomal RNA
Rfam family: Bacterial small subunit ribosomal RNA
Source: RNAcentral